RNAcentral lists this small RNA (165 nucleotides) under Mytilus galloprovincialis (Mediterranean mussel). Lineage: Eukaryota; Metazoa; Mollusca; Bivalvia; Mytilida; Mytilidae. The record is from RNAcentral.
ACAGAUUCCAACCACCAAAUCUCGUGUAAUACGAUAUUUAUCCACUCUCGACAGUUAAAUUUUAAUUUAACGCAGCGAGAGCGAGCCUUGCGUUUUAAAUUUGAAAAUUUAACUGUCUCGAGUGGAUAAAUAUCGUAUCACACUCGAUUCAGUGGUAGACUCUAU